RNAcentral lists this ribosomal RNA (586 nucleotides) under uncultured bacterium. RNAcentral describes it as "bacterial SSU rRNA". It matches the Rfam family "Bacterial small subunit ribosomal RNA", at positions 338 to 916 of the family's 1533-position model. The record is from RNAcentral.
CCUACGGGAGGCAGCAGUGGGGAAUUUUGGACAAUGGGGGAACCCUGAUCCAGCAAUGCCGCGUGUGUGACGAAGGCCUUCGGGUUGUAAAGCACUUUUGGCGGGAACGAAACGGCGCUUUCUAAUACAGAGUGCUAAUGACGGUACCCGCAGAAUAAGCACCGGCUAACUACGUGCCAGCAGCCGCGGUAAUACGUAGGGUGCGAGCGUUAAUCGGAAUUACUGGGCGUAAAGCGUGCGCAGGCGGUUUCGUAAGACAGAUGUGAAAGCCCCGGGCUCAACCUGGGAAGUGCAUUUGUGACUGCGAGACUAGAGUGUGUCAGAGGGAGGUAGAAUUCCACGUGUAGCAGUGAAAUGCGUAGAGAUGUGGAGGAAUACCGAUGGCGAAGGCAGCCUCCUGGGAUAACACUGACGCUCAUGCACGAAAGCGUGGGGAGCAAACAGGAUUAGAUACCCUGGUAGUCCACGCCGUAAACUAUGGGCACUAGGUGUAGGAAGUGUUGACCCUUUCUGUGCCGAAGCUAACGCAUUAAGUGCCCCGCCUGGGGAGUACGGUCGCAAGGCUAAAACUCAAAGGAAUUGACGG